This 403-nucleotide ribosomal RNA is filed under the name uncultured Rhodoplanes sp. Its description in RNAcentral is "bacterial SSU rRNA". It matches the Rfam family "Bacterial small subunit ribosomal RNA", at positions 355 to 774 of the family's 1533-position model. Lineage: Bacteria; Pseudomonadati; Pseudomonadota; Alphaproteobacteria; Hyphomicrobiales; Nitrobacteraceae. The record is from RNAcentral.
UGGGGAAUAUUGGACAAUGGGCGCAAGCCUGAUCCAGCCAUGCCGCGUGGAUGAUGAAGGCCCUAGGGUUGUAAAGUCCUUUCGGCGGGGAAGAUAAUGACGGUACCCGCAGAAGAAGCCCCGGCUAACUUCGUGCCAGCAGCCGCGGUAAUACGAAGGGGGCUAGCGUUGCUCGGAAUCACUGGGCGUAAAGCGCACGUAGGCGGAUCUUUAAGUCAGGGGUGAAAUCCCGGAGCUCAACUCCGGAACUGCCUUUGAUACUGAGGAUCUUCGAGUUCGGGAGAGGUGAGUGGAACUGCGAGUGUAGAGGUGAAAUUCGUAGAUAUUCGCAAGAACACCAGUGGCGAAGGCGGCUCACUGGCCCGAUACUGACGCUGAGGUGCGAAAGCGUGGGGAGCAAACA